GUGCCAGCCGCCGCGGUAAUACGAAGGGGGCUAGCGUUGUUCGGAAUGACUGGGCGUAAAGGGCGCGUAGGCGGCGAUGUAAGUCAGGCGUGAAAGCCCCGGGCUCAACCUGGGAACGGCGCUUGAUACUGCGUUGCUUGAGGACGGGAGAGGAUGGUGGAAUUCCCAGUGUAGAGGUGAAAUUCGUAGAUAUUGGGAAGAACACCGGUGGCGAAGGCGGCCAUCUGGACCGUUUCUGACGCUGAGGCGCGAAAGCGUGGGGAGCAAACAGGAUUAGAAACCCUCGUAGUCC
RNAcentral lists this ribosomal RNA (292 nucleotides) under uncultured bacterium. Its description in RNAcentral is "partial 16S ribosomal RNA". It matches the Rfam family "Bacterial small subunit ribosomal RNA", at positions 505 to 796 of the family's 1533-position model. The record is from RNAcentral.